GCCUACGGUCAUAUCAAUGCGAAUAUACGAUUUCCCGUCUGAUCAAUCAUAGUCAAACGCGUUAGAGCCACAUUCAGUAUUACGGUGGGAGACCACGUGAGAACGGGUGGUACUGAAGGU
Molecule: ribosomal RNA, 120 nt
Filed under: Wickerhamiella azyma
Lineage: Eukaryota; Fungi; Ascomycota; Dipodascomycetes; Dipodascales; Trichomonascaceae
Source: RNAcentral